ACCAUCCUUUUCUUGGGGUUGCGCUACUGUCCCAUAAGGGCCUAGCGAGGGUAGUAUUGCUAACACCUACCGAACACGCUUGCAUCAACUAACUAGAGCUUUGGUUUAUAUUGGUGCAAUUUUUGGAAAA
Small nuclear RNA from Otolemur garnettii (small-eared galago), 130 nucleotides. The record is from Ensembl. Lineage: Eukaryota; Metazoa; Chordata; Mammalia; Primates; Galagidae.